RNAcentral lists this ribosomal RNA (960 nucleotides) under Fictibacillus barbaricus. Its description in RNAcentral is "bacterial SSU rRNA". It matches the Rfam family "Bacterial small subunit ribosomal RNA", at positions 46 to 989 of the family's 1533-position model. Lineage: Bacteria; Bacillati; Bacillota; Bacilli; Caryophanales; Fictibacillaceae. The record is from RNAcentral.
GCAGCUAUACAUGCAGUCGAGCGAAUGACGAGGAGCUUGCUCCUCUGAUUUAGCGGCGGACGGGUGAGUAACACGUGGGUAAUCUGCCUGUAAGACGGGGAUAACUCCGGGAAACCGGGGCUAAUACCGGAUAAUAAGAAGAAACGCAUGUUUCUUUUUUGAAAGUCGGUUUCGGCUGACACUUACAGAUGAGCCCGCGGCGCAUUAGCUAGUUGGUGAGGUAACGGCUCACCAAGGCGACGAUGCGUAGCCGACCUGAGAGGGUGAUCGGCCACACUGGGACUGAGACACGGCCCAGACUCCUACGGGAGGCAGCAGUAGGGAAUCUUCGGCAAUGGGCGAAAGCCUGACCGAGCAACGCCGCGUGAGCGAUGAAGGCCUUCGGGUCGUAAAGCUCUGUUGUUAGAGAAGAACAAGUACGAGAGUAACUGCUCGUACCUUGACGGUACCUAACCAGAAAGCCACGGCUAACUACGUGCCAGCAGCCGCGGUAAUACGUAGGUGGCAAGCGUUAUCCGGAAUUAUUGGGCGUAAAGCGCGCGCAGGCGGUCUCUUAAGUCUGAUGUGAAAGCCCACGGCUCAACCGUGGAGGGUCAUUGGAAACUGGGAGACUUGAGUGCAGGAGAGAAAAGUGGAAUUCCACGUGUAGCGGUGAAAUGCGUAGAGAUGUGGAGGAACACCAGUGGCGAAGGCGGCUUUUUGGCCUGUAACUGACGCUGAGGCGCGAAAGCGUGGGGAGCAAACAGGAUUAGAUACCCUGGUAGUCCACGCCGUAAACGAUGAGUGCUAGGUGUUGGGGGGGUUCCACCCUCAGUGCUGAAGUUAACACAUUAAGCACUCCGCCUGGGGAGUACGACCGCAAGGUUGAAACUCAAAGGAAUUGACGGGGGCCCGCACAAGCAGUGGAGCAUGUGGUUUAAUUCGAAGCAACGCGAAGAACCUUACCAGGUCUUGACAUCC